This 497-nucleotide ribosomal RNA is filed under the name uncultured bacterium. RNAcentral describes it as "partial 16S ribosomal RNA". It matches the Rfam family "Bacterial small subunit ribosomal RNA", at positions 28 to 507 of the family's 1533-position model. The record is from RNAcentral.
GAUGAAUGUUGGCGGCGUGCCUAAUACAUGCAAGUCGAGCGAACAGACGAGGAGCUUGCUCCUCUGACGUUAGCGGCGGACGGGUGAGUAACACGUGGAUAACCUACCUAUAAGACUGGGAUAACUUCGGGAAACCGGAGCUAAUACCGGAUAAUAUAUUGAACCGCAUGGUUCAAUAGUGAAAGACGGUUUUGCUGUCACUUAUAGAUGGAUCCGCGCCGCAUUAGCUAGUUGGUAAGGUAACGGCUUACCAAGGCAACGAUGCGUAGCCGACCUGAGAGGGUGAUCGGCCACACUGGAACUGAGACACGGUCCAGACUCCUACGGGAGGCAGCAGUAGGGAAUCUUCCGCAAUGGGCGAAAGCCUGACGGAGCAACGCCGCGUGAGUGAUGAAGGUCUUCGGAUCGUAAAACUCUGUUAUUAGGGAAGAACAAAUGUGUAAGUAACUAUGCACGUCUUGACGGUACCUAAUCAGAAAGCCACGGCUAACUACGUG